RNAcentral lists this long non-coding RNA (2019 nucleotides) under Pelobates cultripes (western spadefoot toad). The record is from RNAcentral. Lineage: Eukaryota; Metazoa; Chordata; Amphibia; Anura; Pelobatidae.
UGAAGAUAUUUAAUACUCUAUAGUAUACGAACUUACUUUUUUGUCUCUUUUUUUUUUUUUUUUUUUUUUUCAGGAAUACUGAAAUUUGCACGUUCCUCUUGACUAUUCUCUGGUGUUUUACAUACUCUUGUUUGCUAAACACUGUGCCGUACGGAAGAUGGCUGAGCUACAUGUCCUUUCUCCUGUCCAGUUGCUGCAUUGGACAGGACACACGAGACUCUGAAGUACUCGUAACGGGAAGAUUUACGUGAACUCAGUUUUCACAUGAAAAUUAUGAGCUGAAGGUCUUUUAAUUGGAAUUAAUAUCCAGUAUGUAUGGACCGUAUUCAAAGCUGCAUGCAACAAUAAAGUUGUAUCUAAUUUUACAUUAUUUUUAACUGUUGUUUAAGCUUAAACAGAUUAAAUAAAAUUUUACAUUUUGUCUGUAUUUCAGUCCAUGUAAAAGUAUUAUUACAUGAUGGUAUUCUAACAUUUGAAAAGGCUAUGGACAUACAAUGGGAAGUGUAUCUGAAAAUUGCUUAUUGCAGUCCAUUCAAAAUGUCAUGCUAGGUUACUGUAGAUAGCGCUUGACAUGAAGAAUAUCUGGUGCUAAAAAUAAAUAGCAUUCCCAAAGAAAACAUGAUAGUAGAGCACUUCAAUAUGUAGUAAUUACCUCUAUGUAUAGGAUAUGUGUCUCCAUCUACAACAUGGGGAAAACAAGACACAUACGUAUAAUACUGUGUAUACACCUAAAACUCUGUCCAAAUAUUGUAUGUAAACCCACUCACAUUGGAGGGAGCCUGAUAUGACUCGCUCUGAUGUUAUGGGACUUUGUCAUAUCAAGUGAUACUACUUCCUGCGUGCGGCACUGACUUCCUUGCUUUUGCUAAAAUCAAAUAUAAUGAUCGUACCGGUUUCACGUUUCAGGCUUUCUCAACCAGAAUGUUGAAGUUCCUGGGUGUCUUUACUUAAACCAUACAGGAGUCAGUUAGUCCUGGCCACAUGACGUGAAGAGCCAAUCAUUUGCCCUCACCUUUGUCAUCUACUCCGGUUUUUACAGACGUGACGUUCCAGAGGAGUAAUAGUAUGUCACUUUUGGUAUCGAAUCUCCAUUAAAUGAAUCCUAACUGCAUUGCUUGUGUUGUAGUUGGCAUAUAAACCCUCAUGGCAGCAUGAAUGAUUGCACAGUAAUAACAUUCUUAAAACAACUUCAAAUACAUUGUCUUUAAUAUUGUUAGUUCCAAAUGCAUGUGUGAGCCUCCAGAAUACUUAAAACAUACCAGUUUAAAAAAAAAUCAGGGACAAAUCUUCAAACAUCAAUUUGGAAAGCCCCAAGACAUGUUUUUCAAAAUAAAACUAGAAGCAUUAAUCAAUUUAAUCCUUAACUUAUUCACCCUAACAUGUGAGCAUUUCAUCUAAAUGGAGUUAUGGGACAUCAUUCAUAAAGACACUUGCAGGAAGUAGCUCUCUUACAAGUUUGUAUUUCAAAAUAUUUUAUGUAAGAAAUACAUUAAAAAAAAAAAAAGAACUCUGUCAAUAUUUGCAUUAAAGAUCCAUUUUAUGUGGGUUUUUUUGUUUGUUUUUUUUAAAAUAUCAUGAACUCUUCAACUGAUGUCAAUCUUAAACCAAUAGUUUUUUUUGAAUACCUAUAAAUUAAAGACCAAACUGCUACACACUAUAGCAUUAGGAAUACAAACAUGCUGUAGAUUUACCCUACCGAUUUUGAUGUGUUAUACCCCUCCUCCCCUUCCAUAAGGGUUUAAAACUGGAGUUUUAUUUACCUGUACCCCCUCUCGCUGUAAAAUCUCACCACAUCCACUCGAUCUUCCUUAUACGGAAGCAUUGGAAGGCCAGUGCACAUGUGCAGCAAAUCACAAAGAUACAUCAAUCAAAUGCUCUCUUGAAACGAGUCUGACUCUGGAAAACAACCACUAGAAAUGUGUUUAACCCCACAAUGAAAACAUAGUCGUUUUACAAAACUGUAAAUUAAAAAAAUAAAUAAAAAAAAUUUAAUCUUAUCCUCUGUAAUUGCCUAUAUUU